UCCUGGAGACUUCAACAGGUUUCGGAGCAGGUCACCAUCUGCUCUGAAAAGUCCUUUCCCAUCAGUUAUAGAUUGUGCAUAUCAUGGAAUAUCUAUUACUUACACCCUUUUCUUUACACAAUUUUUAAAUGCUACUAAAAGUGUGAAAAAUAAAACAAAUAGAGCACUUUCACUGCACUCUUGCAUUGAAAGAAGAGCUCCCUGGGAUAGGUCCUGCUCAGUCCUGGAGUUUCUCCAGGCCUCUGGCUUCUCUGCAGCUGCCAGGCACAGAUCCGAUCCUGGAGCAGGAGGUGUCCUGACUCUGCGUGGGUCUGGUGAGACACGGCACAAGAAACGGAGCCCUGCCUGGAAGGGGCCAUGGAUCACAGUGACAAAAGCAAACAAAUGCAACAUCUGUGGUGACACCCUGACUUCAGCCCACCCCAAGCGAUGCAGCACAGAGAGAGUGAUGCAAGAGAUCCUGCAAUCCCCAAAAUGCGACGAUGCAUCUCCAAGAGUUACAGAGGGAGAGAGAUUUUAAUGCAUAAGGAUCAGCCUGCCAUGACAAGCCCCGGCAACAUUCAUACGGGCAUCGGUGGAGCAGUUAAGUGAGUGAGAAAUGGGGCAGGGUUCGGACUUCUGUCAGUUCCUCAGCUUCGUUUAAGUUUUAGUUUCACUUGCUGAAGGAAAGCUAAGUUCAGGGACAAGCCAGCAAGCACAGAAGCUGGUCACAUUAGCUGCAAGUGUGGUUUGCUACGUAAAUCCACAAUCCUGAAUUUUAACAGGAAGGGGAAACAUUCAGUUUGCAAAUGUGAACCAACUGAUGUGAUGGCAAAGCUCUUAUGGACUUCUGCCCAGCCAACAGGCAAGGGGCCUCCACUCCCUACUGAAAGAAGAUGCUGGGAUUAAUGAAACACCAUCCUUGUUGUUAAGGCCAGGAUUCGGCUUAGCUCACUUAACACCUCACCUGCUUAGUGUGAACUCUUACAGGACACAAACCUGACGGCGCGUGCUGGAGGGGUCAUAUUGAGCUCUGCAGCCUCCUGCUGUCACAGUUUUAUUGUAAAGCUAUAGCCAACGCCGACACGAGUCUUUGGGCAUCAGCUGCUUUUUGCACUGUUUUAAAUGCAGGUACCUGUGCCGCCAGCCUCGAUCAUCUCCCCCACUUUUUCUCCCUUGGAGCCAUUACCGCCUGUCGCAUAAACCCGCCUGGGUUUACACUUGAUUGACGGGAGGGACGGUAACAGCUCCUUUAGUGUCGUUCUGGUCUGUCAGGUUAGUGUGGCUGGUAUGCAUGCGCACAGGGUAUGCAUGAUAAAAAACACCCUGACAUCUUCCUGAAAAAUGUGGCUGCGUAUUUCCAGCUCUGAAGGCUAGGAGAGGCCCUCCUCGGCCAUCUGGCCCCUUCUGCCCCUCGCUCUUCACUCCGAGCAUUGGAAGUCCUAUGCACGCCCUCCUUGACGGGUACAAUCCACUUUCCUAUUGAGCACAAGACGCUUUCCGCAAUCUUGCUCACUCUUUACCCAGGCAAAAUUUCCAGAGAGUCUCUGACAACUUCCUUCAAAAAACUAUUCCAUCAGCUGCCUGGCUUUUGUUAUACUAUGCAAUUUGAAUCCUCUGCUAAAGAAAGUCCUGUCUGUGGCACUGGACGCUGGCAGAAGCAGGAUAGAGGACCAGAUGAACCACGUUUUUCAUCCAAGAUGACAAGGAUCCUCAAAUUUUCCCCCUACUUUAGU
Molecule: long non-coding RNA, 1715 nt
Organism: Cygnus olor (mute swan)
Lineage: Eukaryota; Metazoa; Chordata; Aves; Anseriformes; Anatidae
Exons: 3
Source: RefSeq, a predicted model, not a curated record